GCCCUCUCUCACCACUCCUAUUCAACAUAGUGUUGGAAGUUGUGACCAGGGCAAUGAGGCAGGAGAAGGAAAUAAAGGGUAUUCAAUUAGGAAAAGAGGAAGUCAAAUUGUCCCUGUUUGCAGACGACAUGAUUGUAUAUCUAGAAAAUCCCAUUGUCUCAGCCCAAAAUCUCGUUAAGCUGAUAAGCAACUUCAGCAAAGUCUCAGGAUACAAAAUCAAUGUACAAAAAUCACAAGCAUUCUUAUACACCAAUAACAGACAAACAGAGA
RNAcentral lists this long non-coding RNA (270 nucleotides) under Homo sapiens (human). RNAcentral describes it as "LHRI_LNC1922.1". The record is from RNAcentral. Lineage: Eukaryota; Metazoa; Chordata; Mammalia; Primates; Hominidae.